UACGUAGGGGGCUAGCGUUGUCCGGAAUCAUUGGGCGUAAAGCGCGUGUAGGCGGUCCGGUAAGUCCGCUGUGAAAGUCGGGGGCUCAACCCUCGAAUGCCGGUGGAUACUGUCGGGCUAGAGUGCGGAAGAGGCGAGUGGAAUUCCUGGUGUAGCGGUGAAAUGCGCAGAUAUCAGGAGGAGCACCAAUUGCGAAGGCAGCUCGCUGGGACGUAACUGACGCUGAGACGCGAAAGCGUGGGGAGCAAACAGG
This 253-nucleotide ribosomal RNA is filed under the name uncultured bacterium. Its description in RNAcentral is "partial 16S ribosomal RNA". It matches the Rfam family "Bacterial small subunit ribosomal RNA", at positions 524 to 776 of the family's 1533-position model. The record is from RNAcentral.